Molecule: ribosomal RNA, 426 nt
Filed under: uncultured bacterium
Lineage: Bacteria
Description: bacterial SSU rRNA
Rfam family: Bacterial small subunit ribosomal RNA
Source: RNAcentral
UGGGAAUCUUGCACAAUGGGCGAAAGCCUGAUGCAGCAACGCCGCGUGCGGGAAGACAGCCCUAGGGUUGUAAACCGCUUUCAGCAGGGAAGAAACUGACGGUACCUGCAGAAGAAGAUGCGGCCAACUACGUGCCAGCAGCCGCGGUGACACGUAGGCAUCAAGCGUUAUCCGGAUUUAUUGGGCGUAAAGAGCUCGUAGGCGGUUCGGUAAGUCGGGUGUGAAAACUCUGGGCUCAACCCAGAGAGGCCACUCGAUACUGCUGUGACUAGAGUGCGGUAGGGAGCGGGAAUUCCUGGUGUAGCGGUGAAUGCGCAGAUAUCAGGAGGAACACCAGUGGCGAAGGCGCCGCUCUGGGCCGUAACUGACGCUGAGGAGCGAAAGCAUGGGUAGCAAACAGGAUUAGAUACCCUGGUAGUCCACACC